GGCACGAUGACCGAGUGGCCUAAGGUGCUUGACUCGAAUACCGUUCGAGAUUAUCAAGUCUCUUCGGAGGCGCAGGUUCAAAUCCUGCUCGUGUCG
RNAcentral lists this transfer RNA (96 nucleotides) under Neurospora sp. IMI 360204. RNAcentral's name for it is "tRNA-Ser". It matches the Rfam family "tRNA". From Rfam's summary of the family: Transfer RNA (tRNA) molecules are approximately 80 nucleotides in length. Lineage: Eukaryota; Fungi; Ascomycota; Sordariomycetes; Sordariales; Sordariaceae. The record is from RNAcentral.